AAAUCUAUAUUAUAAUACACCGUGUUGAUCAGAUAAGGUCUUGUGUGAAAUCAUUGCGUUGCAUAUGGACUAUAGUCACAUUAGUCAUUACAGAAAGGGAAAAUGUUAGGAAGUGGUUGCGUGGAAAGGGCGAGGAAGGGAGGGAUAGCUCGUGUCGGACGCGUGGCAGUCUUAUAGUGACUGAAAAAAAGAAUGAGCGCGAAAGUCCUAUGUUGAAGGGCGAUCAAUCGAAACUUGUGACACGUAUCGUCAUAACUCAUGCGUUGCAUUGCAAACAAUUUACCCGACACUACACACGUACAUAAUAUUACCAAAACUACAUAAAACGAAUUAACGCGUACCUUGCGAAUCAAAUGUACCGCAAUUACGUAUUCUAGACUGUAAACUAUCAUUCAUUUAACCAUUUCUCAUAGAAAAUGUAGCACAAUAAAGAUAUCAGACAUUAUCUACUUCAUUGUUAGCUGUAGGAUAGAUUAUUAUAAUGAAGGACAAAGUGUUUCAAAAAUUCUUUCGGAAAGAACGGUGGACAUACGUUGCUUUGUGAAACUUCUGUCUUGUCAAUUAAUAAAAUUUAUUUAUUAAUCCGCCAAUAAGGUACAAGCGAUAGGAAUUUUCUUAUUAAAAGUGAGCAGUUGUUCGAAAUAAUUCAUAUACUUACGAAAUCUGUGAAUUUCUUCUGUCAUGUGAGUGUUAAUUAAAGGACAAGCUGUCACACCAAACUUUAAUUAUCGAAUGUUAGGCAGUACGACGGUUGCGGAUAACUGGUGUCUUUACUAAUUACGAAACAGUCCGCAGGAUAUGACUUGCGUGGAGGACAGAGUAUAGAACUGUACUUGCCACGCUAUCAGCAAGCCGACAAGUGGGUGCUAUGCAGUGCUAUGUAUUAUCGCAGAAACUAGCCUACGACUCCACUUCUCUUUCGAUACUGGCGCAAGAGGGUGCGUGGCAUGCGUGCGAUUCACAGGGAUGUAUCUAGGAAAUUUACUGACAAGUAUAUCGAAAGUCCGCACUAAACUUAAACAUUAUUAUUUAAAUAACAUAUUAAAAAAAUGUUUAUGUUCUCGAAUAGUAUACAGUAAUGAGCAAAAACUUCCGGAUACGAAAAGGGACUCGGUUUACAAUAUUUAGGUUGCUAAACUAUCUCCCUUACACUCUGCCACUCUUACUGUACAAACAUUACAUGUUUAUAUUCAUUAAAAAAGUCUCGUGAUCUUUUAUUUGUAAUAUUAGAUUAAUACAUACUUUUAGCUCAUUUGAUUAAAAAAUUAUUGGAUAUAUGUAAUUAUUAUCCAUAAUAAAUCCUUAAAACCGAUCCCCAUGCCGGUUCUAAAGAUCUUAAUAUUUAUUUCCGCCAUAAUAAUUCAUAAUUUAGGUAUCUCACUUACACUUGUGUGAAAAUAUAUAUCGAAUCUCAAACUGUUUGUAAAAUAUCAUACAUGUAUAUCUGUAAAACUAAGAUUCAUAUCACUAUUUUGUAUAAAUAUAUUGUUUACUUUUGACGUGGGACAUUUAUGAUGAGUAAUAUAUUUAUACAAAAUAGUAAUGAUAUAUAGUAUGUACACAAGUUCAAUAAAAAUGGAAUUACAAACAAAUUACAUAAAAAUCCAAAAUAGGAAUAAUCGAAAUGAAAUGUUGUUAAUUCAUUGUAAAUGAAUACACAAUAUUAAUUUAUCGUCAAUUAUACGUAAUCAGAAA
Megalopta genalis is the source of this 1695-nucleotide long non-coding RNA. RefSeq lists it as uncharacterized. The record is from RefSeq and is a predicted model, not a curated record. Lineage: Eukaryota; Metazoa; Arthropoda; Insecta; Hymenoptera; Halictidae.